GCCGUUCAACAAACAAACAAUGUUUUUGUCCAUAUUCUUUAAAAAAACAUGUUUUUGACAACAAAUUUCAGUAAAUAUAAUGCCACACUAUAAUAAUCUAAAAACGUGUCUGGAAAAAUAAUGAAAAACAGUUCAAUAUCUUGAGAAUGGGGCGACAGAGGACGAUCGACCUCAAAAUUUUCCGGUACUAAGUGGCAAGUUUUGGAGUAUUACACAAAAUCUUGUAUUAAUUUUGUACUUAUCGGCCUAAUAAUUUAAAGAAUUAUAUAUCAGAAAAUCAUUUCUUAAGCGGCACCCUCAUCCAAUGAGUGGAAAUGCUUUAAAUUGAAUGCAUUCUUAACUUGUUUACUUUUUUUUCUAUUUCUCUCCGCUUCGUUAGUACCCAAUUUCCUGUGGCGAUGAUACACAGUGAUGUUACUAUUUAAAAAAUUGAAGAACUUACGAUAGCUUUAGGAUAUCUUUGCUAUGAUCAUCAUAAGAGAUAAGACAGCUUCGAGACGUGGUCUGAGAUAUGUCCUAAGAUAUGUCUAAUGACAGGUUUUAGGAUAGCUUUGUGAAACCGGCCCCUGGUAGGUAUCGUAGUGAAAACGAUAUGGUGACACUAAGGUCGUCAUUAACUCUUGACUUUUAAAAAUCAAAUGCGACCAUGAUCUUAAUGAUGACUUUGUUGUGGUAAUGUCAAAUUUAAUUACUACUCCCUUGACCCGCAACAGUCAAUUGAACUCUGCAUAAAAAAGGCCCACAUUCAAUAAAAAUAAAAGGAUAUAAUGGACAACGUUAGUGCGAAAGCCGAUUGCAACCCAACGAUAAAAAAGACAAAAACGACUUAAAAAUAGACAUUUUUAAAACCUUUUCAACGUCCCAAUUAUGUAAAAGCUAUGUUAU
Molecule: long non-coding RNA, 885 nt
Filed under: Mytilus galloprovincialis (Mediterranean mussel)
Lineage: Eukaryota; Metazoa; Mollusca; Bivalvia; Mytilida; Mytilidae
Source: RNAcentral